UCGGGCGUGGUGUACGGCACACGCUCCCCUCUUCUAGCACGGCAUGUAACGAAUGAGUGGGAGAGAGCCGGGUUCGAUUCCUGGCGCCCGGA
This is a non-coding RNA of Mycena epipterygia, 92 nucleotides long. NCBI's taxonomy places the organism in Eukaryota, Fungi, Basidiomycota, Agaricomycetes, Agaricales, Mycenaceae. The record is from the annotation of a GenBank genome assembly.